UUUCUAUGUGAAGAUAUUUCCUUUUCCACCAAAGGACACAAAAGGCUCCUAAUACCCACUUCCAGAUUCUACAAAAAGAGUCUCACAACUGCUCAAUCAAAAGAUAGGUUCAACUCUGUGAGUUGAAUGCACACAUCACAAAGAAGUUUCUCAGAAUGCUACUGUGUAGUUUUUAUGUGAAGAUAUUUCCUUUUCCACAAUAGGCCGCAAAGCGCUCCAAUUAUCCACUUGCAGAUUCUACAAAAAGAGAGAUACAAUACUGCUCAAUCAAAAGAUAGGUUCAACUCUGUGAGUUGAAUGCACACAU
RNAcentral lists this long non-coding RNA (307 nucleotides) under Homo sapiens (human). RNAcentral describes it as "HSALNT0326431". The record is from RNAcentral. Lineage: Eukaryota; Metazoa; Chordata; Mammalia; Primates; Hominidae.